GCGCGAUUGACGGAAUAGGUAUACGUGUCAGCCUUAGAAGUUGAAUUUUGAGGGUUCGAAUCCCUUGUCGCGCACCA
This 77-nucleotide transfer RNA is filed under the name Escherichia phage TrudiRoth. Its description in RNAcentral is "tRNA-Leu". It matches the Rfam family "tRNA". Rfam says of the family: Transfer RNA (tRNA) molecules are approximately 80 nucleotides in length. Their secondary structure includes four short double-helical elements and three loops (D, anti-codon, and T loops). The record is from RNAcentral. Lineage: Duplodnaviria; Heunggongvirae; Uroviricota; Caudoviricetes; Demerecviridae.